GCACAACGCGAAGAACCUUACCCACCUUUGACAUGGCAGGAACUUACCAGAGAUGGUUUGGUGCUCGAAAGAGAACCUGCACACAGGUGCUGCAUGGCUGUCGUCAGCUCGUGUCGUGAGAUGUUGGGUUAAGUCCCGCAACGAGCGCAACCCUUGCCAUUAGUUGCUACAUUCAGUUGAGCACUCUAAUGGGACUGCCGGUGACAAACCGGAGGAAGGUGGGGAUGACGUCAAGUCCUCAUGGCCCUUAUAGGUGGGGCUACACACGUCAUACAAUGGCUGGUACAAAGGGUUGCCAACCCGCGAGGGGGAGCUAAUCCCAUAAAGCCAGUCGUAGUCCGGAUCGCAGUCUGCAACUCGACUGCGUGAAGUCGGAAUCGCUAGUAAUCGUGGAUCAGAAUGUCACGGUGAAUACGUUCCCGGGUCUUGUACACACCG
This 438-nucleotide ribosomal RNA is filed under the name uncultured bacterium. Its description in RNAcentral is "bacterial SSU rRNA". It matches the Rfam family "Bacterial small subunit ribosomal RNA", at positions 954 to 1392 of the family's 1533-position model. The record is from RNAcentral.